UUAAGAUACUAAGAGCAUACGGUGGAUGCCUUGGCGAUAUCUGCCGACGAAGGACGUGACAAGCUGCGAAAAGCUGCGGAGAGAUGCAAAUAAUCGGCGACCCGCAGACAUCCGAAUGGAGAAAUCCGGCUGUGAUGAUGCACAGCCAUCCAUGCCCAAGAGCAUGAGAAGGGAACCGGGCGAACUGAAACAUCUAAGUAACCCGAGGAAAAGAAAUCAAACGAGAUACCCCAAGUAGCGGCGAGCGAACAGGGAAGAAGCCCAAACCGGUGAAGGAAACUUUACCGGGGUUGAGGACCAUCAGACCCGCGAAGAACUUUAGCCGAAACUGUUGGGAAACAGUGCCGAAGACAGUGAAAGCCUGGUAGGCGAAAAAGAGAAACGCGGAGAUGGCACCAGAGUACCGCGGGACACGAGAAAUCCCGUGGGAAGCAGGGGGGACCACCCUCCAAGGCAAAACACAGAUAUCGACCGAUAGCGCAUAGUACCAUGAGGGAAAGGUGAAAAGCACCCCGGGAGGGGAAUGAAAGAGAACCUGAAACCGUAUGUUUACAAGCAGUCGGAGACCGCUUAAUAAUAAGGUCGACGGCGUGCCUAUUGAAGAAUGAACCGGCGAGUUACGAAGCCUGGCAAGGUUAAGCAGGAAAUGCGGAGCCGAAGCGAAAGCGAGUCUUAAGAGGGCGCAAGUCAGGAAGCGUAGACCCGAAACCACAGUGAUCUACCCAUGUCCAGGUUGAAACACAGGUAAAAAUGUGUGGAGGACCGAACCUAUAUCCGUUGAAAAGGGUUAGGAUGAGGUGUGGGUAGGGGUGAAAUUCCAAUCGAACGUGGAGAUAGCUGGUUCUCCCCGAAAUAGCUUUAGGGCUAGCCUCAGGGAAAAGAUUGCAGGCGGUAGAGCACUGAUCAGGAGAGGGACCUACCCGGUUACCAAACCCAGUCAAACUCCGAAUGGCUGCAAUCAUACCUGGGAGUCAGACUGCGACUAAUAAGGGCCGCAGUCAAAAGGGAAACAGCCCAGACCAUCAGCUAAGGUCCCCAAUGCCGUGCUAAGUGGCGAAGGAUGUGGCAUUUCAUAAACAACCAGGAUGUUGGCUCAGAAGCAGCCACCAUUUAAAGAGUGCGUAAUAGCUCACUGGUCGAGAGACGCUGCGCCGAAAAUGUCCGGGGCUCAAGCACGGAACCGAAGCUAUGGCAUGAUAGCAAUAUCAUGGGUAGGGGAGCGUUCUUAUAAGGAAGAAGCAUGACCGGAAGGACAUGUGGACGAAUAAGAAGUGAGAAUGCCGGUAUGAGUAUCGAAAAGAAAGGUGAGAAUCCUUUCCACCGAAAGCCCGAGGGUUCCUGAGCAACGAUCGUCGACUCAGGGUAAGUCGGGACCUAAGCCGAGGCGAGAAGCGUAGGCGAUGGACAACAGGUUGAAAUUCCUGUACCGGAUCAAGUCGAUCGAGCGAAGGAGCGACGCAGGAGGGCACAUGAUCGCGCGGCUGGAAGAGCGCGUCCAAGUGCGUAUGUUGCUGCAGAGGAAAACCCCUGCAGCUGAAAGCAGAGACAUGAAGGGGAGUUAAAGGAAACUUUGACGAACUCAUGAAUCCCACACUGCCAAGAAAAACUUCUAGCGAGACAAGAUCCGCCCGUACCGUAAACCGACACAGGUAGGCGGGGAGAGAAUCCUAAGGUGCGCGGGAAAACCCUCGUUAAGGAACUCGGCAAAUUGCAUCCGUAACCUAGGGAGAAGGAUGGCCCCCGGUCAGUGAAGAGCAGAAACGCUCAGAGCUAAAAGGGGCGGCAGAAAAGAGGCCCAAGCAACUGUUUACCAAAAACACAGGUGCCUGCGAAAGCGAAAGCUGAAGUAUAGGUGCUGACGCCUGCCCGGUGCCGGAAGGUUAAGGAGAGAAGUUAGCGAAAGCGAAGCAUCGAACUGAAGCCCCGGUGAACGGCGGCCGUAACUAUAACGGUCCUAAGGUAGCGAAAUUCCUUGUCGGGUAAG
RNAcentral lists this ribosomal RNA (1984 nucleotides) under human gut metagenome. RNAcentral describes it as "bacterial LSU rRNA". It matches the Rfam family "Bacterial large subunit ribosomal RNA", at positions 1 to 1980 of the family's 2925-position model. The record is from RNAcentral.